CUUAGGAGAGUAGAAGGGCCAUCACUCAAUGGAUAAAAGUUACACUAGGAAUAACAAACAGAUCUUUCACAAGGGUUCACAUCGAUGGAAAGGUUUGGCACCUCAAUGUUGAUUCUUCACCACCUGGGGCUAUAUAUUCCAAGGGUUGAACUGUUCACCUAUUAAAGCAGCACAUGAGUUGGGUUAAGAACGUUGUAAGACAGUUUGAUCCAUAUCUAGUAUGGGUGUUAGAGCAUUGAGAGAACCUUUUCCUAGUAGAAGGGGACUAGGAAUGAUGCACCUCUAGUGUAUUAAUUAUCGUGCCCACGAUAAACGUUGAAUAGCCAAAGUAUGGAAUAGCCAAGUGUGGAACGAAUAACUCCUAAAAGCAUCUAAGUAGUAAGCUCACCCUAAGAUGAAUGUUCUCUUAUUCCGACUUUCCUAGAGCCCUUGGUAGCAUAGUCG
RNAcentral lists this non-coding RNA (444 nucleotides) under Musa acuminata subsp. malaccensis (wild Malaysian banana). RNAcentral describes it as "Archaeal large subunit ribosomal RNA". It matches the Rfam family "Bacterial large subunit ribosomal RNA", at positions 2427 to 2925 of the family's 2925-position model. Lineage: Eukaryota; Viridiplantae; Streptophyta; Magnoliopsida; Zingiberales; Musaceae. The record is from Rfam by way of RNAcentral.